UACGGAGGAUGCAAGCGUUAUCCGGAUUUAUUGGGCGUAAAGCGUCCGUAGGUGGUUUUCCAAGUCUGCUGUUAAAGCGCGAGGCUUAACCUCGUACAGGCAGUGGAAACUGGAUGACUAGAGUAUGGUAGGGGUAGCGGGAAUUCCCAGUGUAGCGGUGAAAUGCGUAGAUAUUGGGAAGAACACCAGCGGCGAAAGCGCGCUACUGGGCCAUUACUGACGCUGAGGAGCGAAAGCGUGGGUAGCAAACAGG
Molecule: ribosomal RNA, 253 nt
Filed under: uncultured bacterium
Lineage: Bacteria
Description: partial 16S ribosomal RNA
Rfam family: Bacterial small subunit ribosomal RNA
Source: RNAcentral